AGCGGCAAACGGGUGAGUAACACGUAGCUAACCUGCCUCCGCGACGGGGAUAACAGCUCGAAAGGGCUGCUAAUACCCGAUAUGCUCACGGGGGUUCGCCCUCGCGAGGAAAGCUCCCGCAAGGGAGCGCGCGGAGAGGGGGCUGCGGCCUAUCAGCUUGUUGGUGAGGUAACGGCUCACCAAGGCGAUGACGGGUAGGGGGCGUGAGAGCGUGGCCCCCCACAUGGGGACUGAGACACGGCCCUGACUCCUACGGGAGGCAGCAGUGGGGAAUCUUCGGCAAUGGGCGCAAGCCUGACCGAGCGACGCCGCGUGGGGGAUGAAGGCCUUCGGGUUGUAAACCCCUUUUCAGGGGGACGAAUAAGUCCGGGAGGCAAUGCCCGGAUGAUGACGGUACCCCUGGAAGAAGCCACGGCUAACUCUGUGCCAGCAGCCGCGGUAAGACAGAGGCGGCGAGCGUUACCCGGAUUCACUGGGCGUAAAGGGUGUGUAGGCGGUCGCGUGUGUCCCUGGUGAAAUCUCCCUGCUCAACGGGGAGAGGUCCAAGGAAACUACGCGGCUGGAGGGCCGGAGAGGGAGGCGGAACUUCCAGAGUAGCGGUGAAAUGCGUAGAUACUGGAGGGUACCUCAAUAGCGAAGGCAGCCUCCUUGUCCUGUUUCCUGACGCUGAUGGCACGAAAGCGUGGGGAGCAAACCCGGAUUAGAUACCCGGGUAGUCCACGCCCCUAAACGAUGCCGACUAGGUGUUGGCCUCGCACAUGCUGGGCCAGUGCCGCAGCUAACGCGGUAAGUCGGCCGCCUGGGGUGUACGGCCGCAAGGUUGAAACUCAAGGGAAUUGACGGGAGCCCGCACAAGCGGUGGAGCACGUGGUUCAAUUCGAUGGUAAGCGAAGAACCUUACCAGGGCUUGACAUGCCCGUAGUACGGACCCGAAAGGGCGAGGAGCCUUUGUAGAAAUACAGAGGCAGCGGGCACAGGUGCUGCAUGGCUGUCGUCAGCUCGUGCCGUGGGGCGUCGGGUUAAGUCCCAUAACGAGCGCAACCCCUACCCCUAGUUGCCAUCAGGUCCGCUGGGCACUCUAGGGGAACUGCCGGUGAAUAGCCGGAGGAAGGAGGGGAUGACGUCAAGUCAGCAUGGCCCUUAUGUCCUGGGCGACACACGUGCUACAAUGGGCGGUACAAAGGGUUGCCAACCCGCAAGGGGGAGCUAAUCCCAAAAGCCGCCCUCAGUUCGGAUUGAGGUCUGCAACCCGACCUCAUGAAGCUGGAAUCGCUAGUAAUCGCGGAUCAGCCACGCCGCGGUGAAUACGUACUCGGGCUUUGUACACACCGCCCGUCACACCAGCCGAGCGGGAGCGGCUCGAAGUCCCGCAAGGGCCGAAGGCCGCUUUCGUGAGGGGGGUG
Molecule: ribosomal RNA, 1403 nt
Filed under: uncultured bacterium
Lineage: Bacteria
Description: bacterial SSU rRNA
Rfam family: Bacterial small subunit ribosomal RNA
Source: RNAcentral